UGAUAUACUGCACUCCACUGAGGCUGAAGUCAUCGACCAUGAGUCAGUGAAUGGCUGGAAAAACAUCAAAAAGAGACGUUCACAUCCGACGUUAAACAUUCUUUUAGAGGCAGGGAAGGGCUUCAGAGACAGAAACAAGGCAAAGCAUUUCCUUAUUGUUUGACUUUCCCUAUCUUUAAACCUUGCAUAUGCCGACAUUUAAGCGUGGACAGAGACAAAAUAAGUAUUGAAAAUUGACCAUAAGUAAGUUGACUGUGUCUAACUGAGAAGCACCUUCUACAGCUGACAAACGAAGCUAACGCUGAUGAGCAAAAAACUGCAGUUCCUCUGAUUGCCGCUCAUGGAUCUCUCCAGCAUGUCCUCACUUGAGCUGCAGGUCUCAUAACAGGACAAAAAAAGCACCGCUGUCCUCUGGAGCGAUGAGGACAAAGAAGGGGAACGAGCCACCAAAGCGUGCUUUCAGUGACACGAGGUCAGUCAUCCAUCCAGAUUACAACACCCGCUGUGGGGGUUGUGGGUGGGUUCCUGCCUGAUACUGAAAGGAGCUCUCACUUUGACACUGUUAUUUCUGGAGCGCCUUCGCCUGAUCGUCAUCUGCUUGGAGCACUCUCCACUCAAACCUGCACAUUUAGCUCAUGUUCACUAAAGCUAACUCGCAGCAUGACAAGCAGCAAGAUGACGAUAAAACUGGCUGUAAUUCACUGCUGAAACGUACUGUAUGUACGCUCAAUGUUUCCCUUAGUGACACCGUACUGAAAGAUUUAGUGAAUAUGAAUAAAAGUUGUUCAUAUAAGGUGGAAUGUCAAAACCUUUUUUAGUCCUUUUCUAUUAAUUCCCCCUAAAAUUUCUCAAUAACUAUAAAUGCUGAGUUAAUAACACUGUACCAAUGAAUAAUACAGCAUUUUAUAAUAAAAAUAAGACAGACUGAACAAACCACAAAUGAUUCUAAAUCUUGGUGAAUCAUCCAUACAACCUUGUAAGAAAAAAAAAAAGGAAAACAAGAAGCAGUAAAUUCAACAUGCAAUGUUCCACAGUAAAUCUUUUAGUUAUUCUUUAGCAGUAAAUUCAGCUUGGAUUUUAUCAUUUGUAGGUCGUCCAUAGGUGAAGUAGCUGUGCUGAUACAUUUGAAAAAUCCCUGUUUGGAAAAUAGGUCAACAUUAAUCCAAAAUCUUUACAACCGUGUUUGGCAUGCAACCACAAAUCGAGGUCAGAAAAUUCCUCUGGCUUGCAAAUUCGAAAGCCGUGCUGUUUAACCUUGUCCUGUAGUUACUGUAAGCCUGGGGAGUUUGCAUGUUCUCUGCUAUUUUUCAGCUGCUUCUGGUUG
This is a long non-coding RNA of Oreochromis aureus, 1324 nucleotides long. RefSeq lists it as uncharacterized. Lineage: Eukaryota; Metazoa; Chordata; Actinopteri; Cichliformes; Cichlidae. The transcript has 3 exons. The record is from RefSeq and is a predicted model, not a curated record.